AAUGCGUAGAGAUCUGGAGGAAUACCGGUGGCGAAGGCGGCCCCCUGGACAAAGACUGACGCUCAGGUGCGAAAGCGUGGGGAGCAAACAGGAUUAGAUACCCUGGUAGUCCACGCCGUAAACGAUGUCGAUUUGGAGGUUGUGCCCUUGAGGCGUGGCUUCCGGAGCUAACGCGUUAAAUCGACCGCCUGGGGAGUACGGCCGCAAGGUUAAAACUCAAAUGAAUUGACGGGGGCCCGCACAAGCGGUGGAGCAUGUGGUUUAAUUCGAUGCAACGCGAAGAACCUUACCUGGUCUUGACAUCCACAGAACUUUCCAGAGAUGGAUUGGUGCCUUCGGGAACUGUGAGACAGGUGCUGCAUGGCUGUCGUCAGCUCGUGUUGUGAAAUGUUGGGUUAAGUCC
RNAcentral lists this ribosomal RNA (403 nucleotides) under Klebsiella pneumoniae subsp. pneumoniae. RNAcentral's name for it is "bacterial SSU rRNA". It matches the Rfam family "Bacterial small subunit ribosomal RNA", at positions 685 to 1087 of the family's 1533-position model. Lineage: Bacteria; Pseudomonadati; Pseudomonadota; Gammaproteobacteria; Enterobacterales; Enterobacteriaceae. The record is from RNAcentral.